UCCCCAAAGUUGCAGCUCGGACGACAUGGCUGGCUGAGCACACAGGAAGUUUCUCGAACUACUUUGUGCACGCGCAAUUGAAGUUGUGCUCAAGGUGCAAGCUCGGAGGACGCAGAUGACGCAUAGCCGCGCUGCUCCGCGCAGAACGGACUCUGCCAAAGUUCUGCUGGCACGACAGGUGCGACGGCUUCCGACGACCAAUCAGAGACCAGAUCCCAAAAACACAAAAGCCACCAUUCCGGUUGGCUUCCUGCGGCCACGUUGUCGUUUCUUCCUUCAAAUUGCGUCGAACUGGUAUUUGAAAGACCAGUUCAAAGUAAUCCAAACGUGACUUGCAUUACGUAACAUUUUAAUAGGCGUGAAUUCGAUGUUGACCGUGAUCGAUCUUUUAUAUUUUAACAAACUCAACAAUGCGUCCGGCUAGGCUCAACAACACAAAUGUUUCAUGGUUUGAAUAACUGGGUGACAUAAUUAUCAUCAUCAUCAUCAUAAUUUAAUGGUACAAAAGAGAGCAAAGGUAUUACAGGAAAUAUUUAACGUAACUCUCGAGAUUUGGGUGAGCUCCCUGCCGGCUUCCGUGGUCCAGGUAGCGUCACGUGACCAAACACGCACCAGGAAGAAGCGGAGCACACACAAAAAAAAACAAAUUUGCAAGGUUUAAAGAAGUGGGUCAAGAAAUACAAUCCCGUUAAGAGAUUUACGAUGAGGUGUUGGUGUUUGGAGGGGGUCAUUUUGUGCCUUUUCCAGUGAGCGUCCGUGAGAGAGUGCGGCCACAAGCCCCAGGCCAUCCCGGGCAGCACGAGCGCCACCAGGACGGACGAAAAGAGGUUGACGGCAUUGUUGUCCAGGAUGGGUCUGCCGCUGAUCCAGUGCGUCGUGGGCGACUCGUAGCUCACCACCUUCCCGAUGCUGGCAUCAAAACCUGCCGACACACCAACACAACCCGUGACACCUUUUCGUUCGUGCGGACCGGACCGAUGGCGCGCUUCUGUACCAGAGUACUGCACGCUGGCUCCCAGGAGGGAGUCCAGGAGGGAGCCCAGCAGGCCGGCCGCGCCCCCGUACAGCACCAGCGGCCACUGGGGGGCGCACUCCUGAAGCUCGUUCACGAACAGCACCUGUGAGGCCAAGUACGCCCCGCCCACUGCCAGACCGCCCAGGAAGCUGGCCGCCAGGCCCACGUGAGUCACGCCGCCGUUGGUUCCUGCCAAGCAAAGUUCAAACGUGUUCAUUUCCUGUCCAAAUGACACGCUUGCGAGCACGCACGCAUUCCAGUCCAGGUUUUGUUUUCCACACCUGCUUGGGAGUCCUGUGAAACUUUUCUUGUGGUUUUGAUUUUUAUUUUUUUUUCGCUCACCUUUAGGGACCUCCUGCCAGGUGGUGAUGAGCCUGGGCUGCGACGGGCUGAGGACGGGCCCCACCUCGGAGGCCCAGGUGUCACCCGCGCUGCACGCCAGCGCCCCCAGCAGCGACAGGCACAUCCACGACGCCGUGUACUGCCGGCCAAAGUCGAUGGCCAUCUCGCCGGGGCCCACCUGCCACCGCAAAAACCACCACACGCUCGACAACGUUUCAGAUUCAGUGCUCCUUUUCCAUGAGGCGUUCCCCUUUCGAUAACUGCCGUCGCUGCGGAUUAGUGCUUCACUUUUCACGCUUCUAGUAUUUUUGACGGUUCACUUCCAAUUGUUAAACCAUUUUUCAGAAGUAAAAUUUCAGUCUAAAAGUAGUUUGCCGUUAGAAAUUGAAAUUCCAACUCAAAUGGCAGAUGAGCUUCCGUUCAUUGGCGCCCUCUUGUGGCAUGCGUGUGUCAGUGAAUUUGAAAAAAAGAGAAAAAGAAAAA
Molecule: long non-coding RNA, 1840 nt
Organism: Hippocampus zosterae (dwarf seahorse)
Lineage: Eukaryota; Metazoa; Chordata; Actinopteri; Syngnathiformes; Syngnathidae
Exons: 3
Source: RefSeq, a predicted model, not a curated record